UCAACAACGGAUCUCUUGGUUCUGGCAUCGAUGAAGAACGCAGCGAAAUGCGAUACGUAGUGUGAAUUGCAGAAUUCAGUGAAUCAUCGAAUCUUUGAACGCACAUUUGCGCCCUUUGGUAUUCCAAAGGGCAUGCCUGUUCGAGCGUCAUU
This 152-nucleotide ribosomal RNA is filed under the name Stemphylium lycopersici. Its description in RNAcentral is "5.8S ribosomal RNA". It matches the Rfam family "5.8S ribosomal RNA". From Rfam's summary of the family: 5.8S ribosomal RNA (5.8S rRNA) is a component of the large subunit of the eukaryotic ribosome. It is transcribed by RNA polymerase I as part of the 45S precursor that also contains 18S and 28S rRNA. Functionally, it is thought that 5.8S rRNA may be involved in ribosome translocation. The record is from RNAcentral. Lineage: Eukaryota; Fungi; Ascomycota; Dothideomycetes; Pleosporales; Pleosporaceae.